AAAGAUGUGAGUAAUGCAGUUACAAUGUCUCUUGGUCAAUCUUACAAAGUCGGGAAAUAGAUUCAUAUAUAAGGAACAAUAUAUAAUCAUCUAGAAAUAGCAUCACUGAUAUCUGAAUCCAAGUGAAAACAUCCGUAAGCAACCAUGCUAAUUACAAAACGGUGUACGAAUUUUGUUCUCUUUACAGUGGAAGCCAAGUUGCUUUACGAGGAAGCAUACAUAUUACCAAGUUGCUUUAUGGUCAUAGUUUUUUAUUGACAGAUGAUCAAGAUUUUAAGGAAACCCCUGACACUUAGCUUGGAUAACCAAUAAUGGAGUUGAGCCUUAUUUUGUGCCCACUUUCCCUCGAAGCUACCUUAUCUUAUUGCACAUAGAGCUAUACUGAUUAAUUGGAAAAUAAAAUGAAUGCCAUUGUGCAUCCAUGAUCCAUCAUGAAGGGUAGAGGAAAAAAAGAAGGCUUCACCUGAACCUAACAGUAACAGUAACAGAACCCCAAACGCCAAAGCUCGCAAGAUGAACUUGAUGCUGGUUUAGUAGACAAGCUUGGUAGUGACCUGACAACAUAGCAUUGGAGGGGGGCGUUCAUAAGACCCUGCUAAUUGAGAGAACCCUGGAACUGCAGUGACAGCCAAAACAAAGCAAUUGUUAAUCGAUGUAACCAAAACCGAUAACAGUGCAACAGGCAAAAAUAAUGAAAAUGCAUUGGCGGUAACAAUCGUCUCCACUUGGGAACACGAUCGCCGAUGGCCUGAGCCAGCUGCGCUGAGCUGACCUAACACGCGACUAGAUCGAGACCUGCUGCUGCUGCUGGAGAUAAGGCGAAGAGCUUGAAGCGAAUGUGCACAAGGGCAAGGAGAAUCGAGCGCCUCCGGAUAUUGAGCUGCAGCCACGGGCAGUGCACCGCCAUCACUGUGGAAGACGAUUGAAGAUGGCGGCCAAGUAGGACUAGGAGAGGAAAAAGGAAAAGACUAGGAGAGAACAAA
RNAcentral lists this long non-coding RNA (983 nucleotides) under Zea mays. RNAcentral describes it as "long non-coding RNA (ZMAY_LNC003843)". Lineage: Eukaryota; Viridiplantae; Streptophyta; Magnoliopsida; Poales; Poaceae. The record is from RNAcentral.